This 2077-nucleotide unclassified non-coding RNA is filed under the name Eurytemora carolleeae. RNAcentral describes it as "zinc finger protein 2 homolog". The record is from RNAcentral. Lineage: Eukaryota; Metazoa; Arthropoda; Copepoda; Calanoida; Temoridae.
UUAAACUUCAGAAGAAUGGACAAGAUUUUUCUCCAGCACUGUCAAUCAUUACUGUCAGACUUCAGGAAGAUUUAUCGAGAUCCGGGGAUAACUGACCUGCGUAUAGUGUGUGCUGGGGGAGAACAGGUUUACUCAAACUCGCUUCUGCUCGCGUCCUGCAGCGCAUUAAUCCAGGGUUCUCUGCUUCGGACUGACUCAACCCUCCUGACCGAACCUAAUCUGGAGUAUUGUAUCCUUAUCCCGGACGUAUCUGCGGAGCACCUGGAGAUAUUCCUUGAAAACCUGCUCCAGUGGGAGAAGGUUCCAAGACAGUCCGAGAUACAAGUUCUUGCAAGAAUUGGGCAAACCUUGGGAGUCAAGGCAAACCUUGUAGGGUUCGAGAAACCUAUUCCUCUAGUUCUAGAUUAUUCCUCGGCCACUGUUGGGUUCGAGAAACCUAUUCCUCUAGUUCUAGAUUAUUCCUCGGCCACUCUUAAAGAAGAUGAAUCCCGCAAUGAAAAGCUAGAGUUUAUUCUUCCUAAAAGAAAAAAAACACCGCACCAACGAACCAUUUACCAAUGUGACAAAUGCCAAAAACAGUUUGGCUUGAAACGAAACUUUAUGCAUCACAUCAACUCCCAUUUGGGAAUCAAGCCUUACGCCUGUACUCAGUGUGAUAAACGAUUUGUCCAAAGAUGUCAUAUGAAUACACAUAUGAAGAUUUUACACUCUGGUUUGAAACCGUACAUCUGCCAUAAAUGCGGGAAAUCAUUUGCUGUGAGCAGCAAUCUCAAGAAGCAUGCCGCAACUCAUGGUAGAGAGGAGGAGGAGGAGGAGGAGGGGGAGAGGGUUAACGAUCCAAAAUGGAAGGAUGUGAUUGAAUUUAAUAAUUCUGUUAUCGAACUAUCCUCGUUAAACGGAGCCAACUCCGACCCCCCCGCGGAGAAACCUGAUUCCGAUCCUCAGUCUCGGGUAUAUAUCUCCGCCAGUGAGAAAUCUCAACUGGAGUCAACAAAUUUUGAAAUAUCUCAAAUUGAUUGUUCCGAAUCUGGCGGCGGGGAGGUUUUCUCCGCCAGCGACCAGUUGCUAAUGCUUGAUUCUUUCCAGGAGACUUACAGUGAGGGAUUUUCUGGUGACUCUAAGGCAGAGAACUCUGAUCCUGUGUAUCCCUUUACGAUCUGCAACAAAACGUUUGCCUCAAAAUCAAAAUUGGAAUUACACACAGUCAGUCACACAGUAAACAAGCUGUUUACGUGUACCCACUGUGGGAAAAAGUUUAAACAAAAAUCCCAUUUAAACCAUCAUAUCAAGCUGAAGCACUCAGACGGAGCCUUUGACAGCAAAUACAAAUGUGAUAUUUGUGGAAAAUGUUUGACGAGUAAUUAUAGUUUGAAGAAGCACAAGAUGCUGCACUGGGAUAACAAACCGUUUGUUUGCCUGGUUUGCGGGAAAAGAUUUGUUCAGAAUUCACAUCUUACUCUUCAUGUUCAGAAGCAUUCAGGGAUUCGGUCUCAUCUGUGUAUUGAGUGUGGGAAAUCCUUUACAACGAAGGGACAUCUGAAAGAACACAUGAAGUUUCACACUGGGGAGAGAAAGGUGUAUGAAUGCAUGGAAUGUAAAGCUCAAUACUUCGGUCUACAUGAUUUAAAGGUUCAUAUGAGAAAGCAUAGUGGCGAGAUGCCGUUUUCAUGUAGUCAUUGCCCUAAAAGAUUCCGUUCCAUGAGAAACCUGGAGAACCACUCGAGAAUCCAUACUGGAGAGAAACCGUUCAAGUGCCGAACCUGCGGCCGGAGAUUUACAACCUCCUCCGGACUCUGUCAGCACUUUAAGAAGAGCUCCGGGUGCCGGAGAAACCUAGAGGAUACAACAGGGUCAUAUACAGCCAACCUAGAGGAGUUUUCAGAUACUCAGAUCAGGACCUGCAUAAUCCUGAUUAUCCUGAUUCCGUUGUAAAUGCGUGUAAAAAUAGCAAUAAACUCUACGUUUUCCUGCAAUCUUCACGUCUCCAGUGAGUCCGUUGACUUGAAUGGGAAGACUGUUUCUGGGUUCGACUCUUUAAAUCCUGUUCCUGGGUCUAUUAUCUAUGCCUUAAACCAGG